GUGCUCGCCCUGGCAACACAGAUACUGAAAGUUGGAAUGAUACAGUGAAGAUUAGCAUGGCCCCAUGCAAGGAUCAUAUGCAAAUUCAUAAAGUGUUCUAUAUUUCA
This is a small nuclear RNA of Marmota marmota marmota (Alpine marmot), 107 nucleotides long. The record is from Ensembl. NCBI's taxonomy places the organism in Eukaryota, Metazoa, Chordata, Mammalia, Rodentia, Sciuridae.